GGAGAGUUUGCCGUUCAGUGGUAGGACAUCUGCUUUGCAUGCAGAAGGUCCCAGGCUCAAACCUUGGCAUCUCCA
This is a non-coding RNA of Podarcis lilfordi (Lilford's wall lizard), 75 nucleotides long. NCBI's taxonomy places the organism in Eukaryota, Metazoa, Chordata, Lepidosauria, Squamata, Lacertidae. The record is from the annotation of a GenBank genome assembly.